AUUGAACGCUGGCGGCAGGCUUAACACAUGCAAGUCGAGCGGAGAUGAGGUGCUUGCACCUUAUCUUAGCGGCGGACGGGUGAGUAAUGCUUAGGAAUCUGCCUAUUAGUGGGGGACAACAUUCCGAAAGGAAUGCUAAUACCGCAUACGUCCUACGGGAGAAAGCAGGGGAUCUUCGGACCUUGCGCUAAUAGAUGAGCCUAGGUCGGAUUAGCUAGUUGGUGGGGUAAAGGCCUACCAAGGCGACAAUCUGUAGCGGGUCUGAAAGGAUGAUCCGCCGCACUGGGACUGAGAAACGGCCCAGACUCCGACGGGAGGCAGCAGUGGGGAAUAUUGGACAAUGGGGGGAACCCUGAUCCAGCCAUGCCGCGUGUGUGAAGAAGGCCUUAUGGUUGUAAAGCACUUUAAGCGAGGAGGAGGCUACUGAGACUAAUACUCUUGGAUAGUGGACGUUACUCGCAGAAUAAGCACCGGCUAACUCUGUGCCAGCCGCCGCAGUAA
This 501-nucleotide ribosomal RNA is filed under the name uncultured bacterium. RNAcentral describes it as "partial 16S ribosomal RNA". It matches the Rfam family "Bacterial small subunit ribosomal RNA", at positions 30 to 523 of the family's 1533-position model. The record is from RNAcentral.